CAGUAGCCGCGGUAAAACGUAGGUCCCGAGCGUUGUCCGGAUUUAUUGGGCGUAAAGGGCUCGCAGGCGGUUUCUUAAGUCUGAUGUGAAAGCCCCCGGCUCAACCGGGGAGGGUCAUUGGAAACUGGGAAACUUGAGUGCAGAAGAGGAGAGUGGAAUUCCACGUGUAGCGGUGAAAUGCGUAGAGAUGUGGAGGAACACCAGUGGCGAAGGCGACUCUCUGGUCUGUAACUGACGCUGAGGAGCGAAAGCGUGGGGAGCGAACAGGAUUAGAUACCCCCGUAGUCCCUGUCUCUUAUAA
This 301-nucleotide ribosomal RNA is filed under the name uncultured bacterium. Its description in RNAcentral is "partial 16S ribosomal RNA". It matches the Rfam family "Bacterial small subunit ribosomal RNA", at positions 509 to 809 of the family's 1533-position model. The record is from RNAcentral.